GACGAACGCUGGCGGCGUGCCUAAUACAUGCAAGUGGGACGCAAGGAAACACACUGUGCUUGCACACCGUGUUUUCUUGAGUCGCGAACGGGUGAGUAACGCGUAGGUAACCUGCCUAUUAGCGGGGGAUAACUAUUGGAAACGAUAGCUAAUACCGCAUCAUAUUAAUUAUUGCAUGAUAAUUGAUUGAAAGAUGCAAGCGCAUCACUAGUAGAUGGACCUGCGUUGUAUUAGCUAGUUGGUAAGGUAAGAGCUUACCAAGGCGACGAUACAUAGCCGACCUGAGAGGGUGAUCGGCCAGACUGGGACGGAGACACGGCCCAGACUCCUACGGGAGGCAGCAGUAGGGAAUCUUCGGCAAUGGACGAAAGUCUGACCGAGCAACGACGAGGGAGUGGAGAAGGUUUUCGGAUCGGAAAGCUCAGUUGUAAGUCAAGAACGUGUGUGAGAGUGGAAAGUUCACACAGUGACGGUAGCUUACCAGAAAGGGACGGCUAACUACGUG
This 505-nucleotide ribosomal RNA is filed under the name uncultured bacterium. RNAcentral's name for it is "partial 16S ribosomal RNA". It matches the Rfam family "Bacterial small subunit ribosomal RNA", at positions 28 to 507 of the family's 1533-position model. The record is from RNAcentral.